Molecule: non-coding RNA, 347 nt
Organism: Paramuricea clavata
Lineage: Eukaryota; Metazoa; Cnidaria; Anthozoa; Malacalcyonacea; Plexauridae
Source: the annotation of a GenBank genome assembly
UGAAGUAGUCCGCUGUCUAUACUAAUUGUGUGUUCGCAUCGUACAUAUCGUCCCAUUGUGUCAUCGACACCGAAUGUCAUACAAGCGAAUGUCAUGUAGGCAGUGCCAAAUGUCAUGUAAGCCAAUCCGAAUGUCAUGAAAGUAGUGCCAAAGCCCAAAUGUCAUGCAAGCCAAUCCAAUUGUCUUAUAAGCAUGCCAUGCAAGCAAGCCAUGUGUCGAAUGGCACGCAGACACUGCUAGUUAAAUUUUGGUAUUUUUGACGGUGAUCACACUUUAUAGUAGCAGCUGUAGAGCUCAGUCAGGUGUAUUUCAAUUCAUUUUUUUCUAUUUAAUGUUCAUGAUAUCGG